RNAcentral lists this ribosomal RNA (477 nucleotides) under uncultured bacterium. RNAcentral's name for it is "partial 16S ribosomal RNA". It matches the Rfam family "Bacterial small subunit ribosomal RNA", at positions 28 to 506 of the family's 1533-position model. The record is from RNAcentral.
GAUUAACGCUGGCGGCGUGCAUAACACAUGCAAGUCGAACGAUGAAACUCAUUAGAUUUCUUCGGAAUGAAAAUGAAUGGAUUAGUGGCGAACGGGUGAGUAACGCGUGAGUAACCUGCCUUACACAAGGGGAUAGCCUCUGGAAACGGAGAAUAAUACCCUAUGAAACCAGACAAUCGCAUGAUAAUCUGGUCAAAAUGUUUAGUGGUGUAAGAUGGACUUGCGUCUGAUUAGCUAGUUGGUGAGAUAAAAGCUCACCAAGGCAACGAUCAGUAGCCGGCUUGAGAGAGUGUACGGCCACAUUGGGACUGAGACACGGCCCAGACUCCUACGGGAGGCAGCAGUGGGGAAUUUUGCACAAUGGGGGAAACCCUGAUGCAGCGACGCCGCGUGAUUUAGAAGGCCUUCGGGUUGUAAAAAUCUUUUGUAUAGGAAGAAAAUGACAGUACUAUACGAAUAAGGUCCGGCUAAUUACGU